AGCCUCCUGAAUUCGUGCCAAUAUUUCAUCAGACACCAAAAAACACAAGGACCGAUCAAACUUCCAAGAUAAGUGAAGUG
This 80-nucleotide microRNA precursor is filed under the name Schistosoma mansoni. RNAcentral's name for it is "mir-3492 microRNA precursor family". It matches the Rfam family "mir-3492 microRNA precursor family". The record is from Rfam by way of RNAcentral. Lineage: Eukaryota; Metazoa; Platyhelminthes; Trematoda; Strigeidida; Schistosomatidae.